This 250-nucleotide long non-coding RNA is filed under the name Capsella rubella. RNAcentral describes it as "long non-coding RNA (CRUB_LNC002877)". The record is from RNAcentral. Lineage: Eukaryota; Viridiplantae; Streptophyta; Magnoliopsida; Brassicales; Brassicaceae.
AUUGAUUGAUGUUUUUUAAUUAAAUUAUAUUAUUAUUUUUGUCUUAUUAAUCCAACACUGCCAGCUAUGCAUCUGUAGUAAAUGAUAUGAGCCUUCUUCGGUCUCUCUUUUGCUUUAUUUUGUCUUCUUUCUCUUUUUUUUUUUUUGCUCUCUUUAUCUUUCUUUCAUUUUCGUCUUAAUGUAUAAUACAAAAAAUAUUGUGUAUACGUAUGUAAGAAAUGCUUAUAGAAUUCAAAACUCCUUAUAUUCA